GGAGAGACCCGCCUCCUUCCGUUAGGGCGCGAUGGCGUCACUAAGCGGCCGUUAGCGGCCCCGGCGUCGUCCUCGUGGCGCCAUAGGCCAGCCCUACAACCUUGAAGCCUCGCAGGCUAAGAAAAGCCCUAGUGCCAAGUUGGAUCUCUUGGGAAGAGGUUGGGGCUCUCAUACCCUGAAGGCUCUUCAGCAAGGACAUUGUCUCUAGGGGCUUUACCAGACACUGGCAAAAUAUGACAUUGAUGCAGCUGUCCAACUGAUUUUAUGCCGAGAAAAAUUCAUCGUGAAGGACGUGUACAAGUAUCUGG
Non-coding RNA from Phascolarctos cinereus (koala), 308 nucleotides. The record is from RefSeq and is a predicted model, not a curated record. NCBI's taxonomy places the organism in Eukaryota, Metazoa, Chordata, Mammalia, Diprotodontia, Phascolarctidae.